GAAAGGACGAAGUCUGUAGCUUGGUGUUAGCAACGAUAUUAGUUCCUAGCUUCAGUUAGAGCUUAAUUUUAGGGUGACUGGUUAUUGGACUUUUCAACCUCCCUCUGUGAAACAUAAGCUUUUUGAAUAUGUUCAUCUUAAUGUAGUUGUUUCAAUAACAAAACAGGCUUAUUUUCUCUCUUUUUUUUUUUUUUUUUUUUUUUUUUUUUUUUUUUUUUUUUAAAUGCUUUUGAAAUUGUAACUCUUUUACCUAUAUGCAUAACAGUACUUUAAUGCAUCCAAUUGAACUUUGUUACAAGAACUAUCAUGAGAAAUAUUUUAUAGGGAUUAAGCAUCUAGCAAAUGACGAUUAUCUGAAGAAUUGGAAUCUUUUGUGGAAAUAUGAUGAUGGGAUGUACCGCUUGGAUACUAAAAGAAUUUGAGAAGCCGAUAUAGUUAUUGAGGUUGGAGAUGGAAUAUUUAAGAUCUGAUCUACCUUGGGUGACACUCAUCCAAGAAGCAAUGGUUUUGACAAGGUAUAGAUGACUUUACUGAGAAGGCACAGAUCUUCUGAAAGACAAGCAAGCUCUGGUCUUACAGAGAUUGCUGAGAAGGCAUAGAUGAAGUUGUCAUCUCUAACUUAGACUAAUAUUAGCCAUUUAGGAGCGUGAGGAAAUGACUAGAAAAGAGCCAAAUGUGACUGUAAAUCCUUAUGAAGUUGUUGCUCUUGGGGCUAUAGUUCAGGACUUGAAACUUUAGGUGGUGUGGUGGUAGAUUAUCUGAAGGAACCCAACCUUACCAAUUUCUGGGUUGUUUUCUUUUCCACUGCAGCAGAUGAAUAUAAACGAGUAUCAAGGUGAGAGUUUGUGAGGGACAACAUAUCUUGGAGUUGGCAUCUCACAUGUGUCACUUGGAGUUCCUCAAAUUUUGGUGAAAUUUGGUAUUGAUGCCGAUGGUAUUCUUUCGGUCACUGCAAUUGACAAGGGAAUUGGAAAGAAGCAUGAUAUCGCCAUAACUGGUACUAGCACCUUGCCAAGUGAAAAGGUGGAUAGGAUGGUUAAUGAAGCUGAAAAUUUUGCAAAGGGAAGACAAGGAAAUGAGGGAUGCCAUAGACACAAAGAACCAUGCUAACUCAGUUUUGUACCAUACUAGAAGCAACUAAAAGAGCUGGGAGACAAUGUUCCUAGCUAGACAAGGAGAAUGUAGAGGCUAAAGUGAAUUCACCCAAGCCAUUAAAGAUGCAAUGGAUCUACCCAAGCCAUUAAAGAUGUAAUGGCUGUCCUGAAUCAAGAAAUUAUAUAACUGUGGUAGUCAAUGUUGAUAUGAAUUAGAAUUGGAUUGUCUAUUAACUUUUUUCGGAUUGACUUCUUUGCAUGGACGGCAACUAUUGUUUAGCCUUGAAUUAUGUUAGAGUUGAGAGAGAACUCUUUGAUAUAGAGUUAUUUGGGUGUAUUGGGGUUUGGGUUUGUGAGUGGUUCUACACCACCUUUGUACUCUCCAUAUUUGUUAGUGAAACUUUCUCCUUGUCGCCGCCCGUGGAUGUAAGCCGAAGGCCGAACCACGUAAA
Molecule: long non-coding RNA, 1546 nt
Organism: Quercus robur (English oak)
Lineage: Eukaryota; Viridiplantae; Streptophyta; Magnoliopsida; Fagales; Fagaceae
Exons: 6
Source: RefSeq, a predicted model, not a curated record